RNAcentral lists this ribosomal RNA (253 nucleotides) under uncultured bacterium. RNAcentral describes it as "partial 16S ribosomal RNA". It matches the Rfam family "Bacterial small subunit ribosomal RNA", at positions 524 to 776 of the family's 1533-position model. The record is from RNAcentral.
UACGAAGGGGGCUAGCGUUGUUCGGAAUUACUGGGCGUAAAGCGUGCGCAGGCGGUCUGCUAAGAGAGGUGUGAAAUCCCCGGGCUUAACCUGGGAACCGCAUUUGUGACUGCAUAGCUGGAGUACGGCAGAGGGGGAUGGAAUUCCGCGUGUAGCAGUGAAAUGCGUAGAUAUGCGGAGGAACACCGAUGGCGAAGGCAGUCCCCUGGGCCUGUACUGACGCUCAUGCACGAAAGCGUGGGGAGCAAACAGG